Molecule: unclassified non-coding RNA, 1963 nt
Filed under: Penaeus chinensis
Lineage: Eukaryota; Metazoa; Arthropoda; Malacostraca; Decapoda; Penaeidae
Description: protein O-linked-mannose beta-1,2-N- acetylglucosaminyltransferase 1-like, transcript variant X2
Source: RNAcentral
CGACCUCGUUCCCCAGGAGUAGUUUGAACCUCUCGAGGAUAUGACUGCCAAGAUUUGUCAUGACAACCCAGAACCUCUAAUAGAAUCCAACUACAGAUGACAGAACACCUUCAGGAGGAAACAAAGGCUUAAAACACGGGUGGAUCGGCGUGGCGACUCCCUCAGGGCAACCGGCCUAGCCAUGAGAAGUGACGUCAUGUGGUGUUUCCGAUUUUAGUGACACAGGCGCUGGAUGACUUAAACGUAUUAUGAGACCAAGAACGAAUUGGGCGUGUGUGUGGGCGGUGGUCGUGACAUGGGCGUUCGCAUCUCAGUUAAAUGGAGAGGCCGCCGAGGAUGUGCUCUUCCGCUCCCCGGAAGCCACGGACGAGUUGCCGGUCACACUGCGGAUGGAGGACCCGAAGACUGGCCUCACGAAGUCGAUGGUUUUGCAUGUGAAGCGCGCCAUGCUUGAGCGCUAUCACGUGACGAAGGAGGAGAUCGAGAAGGGCACGGUGGUCUUUGACGAAGAAGGGGCGGCGAAGAAGCUCAUGGUGAAGGGCAUCGCCUUCGAGAUCCCGGCCGCCGAGGAGCGCAUGGACGCGGUCGUCUUCCACUCCAGGCCGGACGAGGAGCCGUUCCUCCUCGACCUCAGAGAAGUGGGCGGCCUCACCAUCGCCUCGUUUGAAGACGACCCUACGUUGGUCCCGGAGCCUCCCGAAGCCAUCGACUGGUCCGUGCCUGGCCGACGCCCUCUCACCUCCCUGGCCCUUAGCAUCUCCGCCCGCGCCGUGGUGGUCGCCGCCAACCGAGCGACGGAGGUCUCGAACAGGACGGCCGCAACUGGAGUGACGGAGCAGCUGUGGCUGGCCGGAGCGGGCCUGCACCUGCUGGUUCUGAAUCCUUGCACGGCCGAGGUCACCCUGGAUAAGGUGUUCCCUACAGGCGAACCCGGCGCUUAUCGGGACCUCACCUGGACGCUGGCCAACAUCCAGGGCAACAGGAUCGUCGUUGUUGCUUCUGUCCACGACGGAUCGCUCCAGCUGUUGUCCUCGGCGCGGGAACGCCUUGAAACCCUCGGCUCUGAGUGGGUCAGGUACUACUCCUUCAGAGACUCCUGGGCUUGGGUCUUCAUCAUGGGGGGCGCGACUCUCGGGAGUGGCUUCGCGCCCAACACCGGCACCAUCGACACGUCAGCGUCUCCCUUGCUAAUGGAAGUGGGCGUCCCUCGGGGUCCUUCGCGUGACAGGACGGAGGGAGAAAGCGCGGGAAAGAAAGCCGGCCAUGAAGAAAUUAAAGACGACAAAACAGAUAACGGCUCGCACGCGGAAGGCAAGACAGACGAAGACUUAGCCGACGGGCAGAAGGAAGAUAAGAUGCCUUCCGAUGUUCCAGUAACGGUGUCCGAAUACCUGACGCAACGGCAGGCAAGGAUCACCAAGAAGAAACCAGAAGCAGAAGAUAGCGACGUGAGAGAGACAGCGAUCGGCGAGGCAGCGGCAGAGGAGAGCUGUACAGACCACGUGGCGCGAAGAUAUACCAAUCCUCGUUAUCACCGGCGGAAGAAUACACUAUCUGUUCAGGUUGCUGCAGUCCCUGGGGAAGCAGCCAGGCGUCCGACGAGACCUCAUAUUGUUGGUCACAGAUGGAUACAAUACAGAGGUGGCCAAGAUAGCACACAUUCUGCGCCUCACACUCCUAGUUCACAGACCCGAAGGCGUAAUUCCUACCAGAAUUUCCAGGAAUGUCCGUUUCGGUCUCUUUAACAUCAUCAAGAAGUUCCCAAAAGCAGACAAGUUCAUUGUGUUGGAAGACGAUCUAAUUCUCUCUCCGGAUUUUUACUCAUACAUGCAGCAGACCAGCUGGAUUCUCGAAAACGACCCUUCGGUGUACUGUGUCUCCGCCUUCAACCACCUCUCCUACACCCACACGGCCUUACAACGCGACCCAGAUCUAUCGCGCCCACUCCUACCCUGCGUAUGGC